This 296-nucleotide ribosomal RNA is filed under the name Latilactobacillus curvatus. RNAcentral describes it as "Lactobacillus curvatus partial 16S ribosomal RNA". It matches the Rfam family "Bacterial small subunit ribosomal RNA", at positions 1085 to 1382 of the family's 1533-position model. Lineage: Bacteria; Bacillati; Bacillota; Bacilli; Lactobacillales; Lactobacillaceae. The record is from RNAcentral.
UCCCGCAACGAGCGCAACCCUUAUUACUAGUUGCCAGCAUUUAGUUGGGCACUCUAGUGAGACUGCCGGUGACAAACCGGAGGAAGGUGGGGACGACGUCAAAUCAUCAUGCCCCUUAUGACCUGGGCUACACACGUGCUACAAUGGAUGGUACAACGAGUCGCGAGACCGCGAGGUUUAGCUAAUCUCUUAAAACCAUUCUCAGUUCGGAUUGUAGGCUGCAACUCGCCUACAUGAAGCCGGAAUCGCUAGUAAUCGCGGAUCAGCAUGCCGCGGUGAAUACGUUCCCGGGCCUU